This is a long non-coding RNA of Bubalus bubalis (water buffalo), 248 nucleotides long. RefSeq lists it as uncharacterized. The record is from RefSeq and is a predicted model, not a curated record. The transcript has 3 exons. NCBI's taxonomy places the organism in Eukaryota, Metazoa, Chordata, Mammalia, Artiodactyla, Bovidae.
ACUGGGGAGGCCUCAGUGUCUCCUCUCCUUCGGGAGAACGGAAGGACGCCUGCGGCCUACAAAAAACUAUUGUUGCAGUGAGUUAGUUGCCACAAAAAUCAGGAGGAAACACACAGGAAUUCACUCAUCUCACUUGGUGAUGGAGGACCAGCACACAAGACCUACAGUAAUGUUUCCAAACUUCAAGGACGUGAGUCUCAGUGAACUUUGGGAGUUGGUGAUGGACAGGAAGGCAUGGUGUGCUGCAG